GACGAACGCUGGCGGCGUGCUUAACACAUGCAAGUCGAACGGAAAGGCCCUGCUUUUGUGGGGUGCUCGAGUGGCGAACGGGUGAGUAACACGUUAGUAACCUGCCCUUUACUUUGGGAUAACUUCAGGAAACUGGGGCUAAUACCGGAUAGGAGCUCCUGCUGCAUGGUGGGGGUUGGAAAGUUUCGGCGGUUGGGGAUGGACUCGCGGCUUAUCAGCUUGUUGGUGGGUUAUUGGCUUACCAAGGCUUUGACGGGUAGCCGGCCUGAGAGGGUGACCGGCCAAAUUGGGACUGAGAAACGGACCAGAAUCCUACGGGAGGCAGCAGGGGGGAAUAUUGCAAAAUGGGCGGAAGCCUGAUGCAGCAACGUCGAGUGGGAGAUGACGGACUUAGGGUUGUAAACAGCUUUCGAAUGUGACGAAGCGUGAGUGACGGUAAUGGGUAAAGAAGCACAGGAUAACUACGUG
RNAcentral lists this ribosomal RNA (468 nucleotides) under uncultured bacterium. RNAcentral's name for it is "partial 16S ribosomal RNA". It matches the Rfam family "Bacterial small subunit ribosomal RNA", at positions 28 to 507 of the family's 1533-position model. The record is from RNAcentral.